UCCAUCGCGAGGUGGAAUCUAGAGGAAGGUGGAGGCAAAUCUCUGGUCUGACGAACAGAAACCACAUAUAAGGCAGGGCAUAUCGGGUAAGGUUGCCAAACAUACUGAAGCCCUAUAACUAUCCGAAGAUAUGCUAUGUAAAUGUGGCAGAUAGAUUGAGUGAAAGACUAUGCA
Molecule: non-coding RNA, 174 nt
Organism: Desulfosporosinus sp. BRH_c37
Lineage: Bacteria; Bacillati; Bacillota; Clostridia; Eubacteriales; Desulfitobacteriaceae
Source: Rfam